RNA transcript from Otolemur garnettii (small-eared galago), 1260 nucleotides. It is a transcript of the gene named polyadenylate-binding protein-interacting protein 1 pseudogene, with no coding region annotated. NCBI's taxonomy places the organism in Eukaryota, Metazoa, Chordata, Mammalia, Primates, Galagidae. The transcript has a single exon. The record is from RefSeq and is a predicted model, not a curated record.
AACUUAGAGUCAGCAAUGGCUAAACCCCAAGUGGUUGUAGCUCCUGUAUUAAUGUCUAAACUGUUCGUGAAUGCCCCUGAAUUUUACUCAUCAAGUUAUUCUUCCAAUUAUACAGAAUCCUAUGAGGAUGGUUGUGAGGAUUAUCCCACUCUAUCAGAGUAUGUUCAGGAUUUUUUGAAUCAUCUUACAGAGCAGCCUGGCAGUUUUGAAACUGAAAUUGUACAGUUUGCAGAGACCCUGAAUGGCUGGGUUGUAACAGAUGAUGCUUUGCAAGAACUGGUGGAACUCAUCUAUCAACAGACUACAUCUAUCCCAAAUUUCUCUUAUAUGGGAACUCACCUGUGUAAUUACCUGUCCCAUCAUCUGACAAUUAGCCCACAGAGUGGCAACUUCUACCAACUAUUACUUCAAAGAUGUCAAACUGAAUACAAAGUUAAAGAUCAAGCUGCAAAAGGGGAUGAAGUUACUCGAAAAUGAUUUCAUGCAUUUGUACUCUUUCUGGGAGAACUUCAUCUUAAACGGACAGGUUACAAGAGCAGAUAUUCUUCAGGUUGAUCUCUGAGAAUUGCUGAAUGCCCUCUUUUCUAAUCCUAUGGAUGACAACUUAAUUUGUGCAGUAACAUUACUGAAAUUGACAGGGUUAGUUUUAGAAGAUGCAUGGAAGGAAAAAGGAAAGACUGACAUGGAGGAAAUUAUUCAGAGAAUUGAAAAUGUUGUCCUAGAUGCAAACUGCAGGAGAGAUGUAAAACAGAUGCUCCUGAAACUUGUAGAGCUCCAAUCUAGUACCUGGGGUAAAGUUCAAGCAUCUUCAACAUACAGAGAAGCAACACCUGAAAAUGAUCCUAACUACUUUAUGAAUGAACCAACAUUUUAUACAUCUGAUGGUGUUCCUUUUACUGCAGCUGAUCCAGAUUACCAAGAGAAAUAUCAAGAGUUACUUGAAAGAGAGGACUUUUUUCCAGAUUAUGAAGAAAAUGGAACAGAUUUAUCGGGGGCUGGUGAUCCAUACUUGGAUGAUAUUGAUGAUGAGAUGGACCCAGAGGUAGAAGAAGCUUAUGAAAAGUUUUGUUUGGAAUCAGAGAGUAAGUGAAAGCAAUAAAGUUAAAUUUCAGCCUAUCAGUUUUAUAAAGCAGUUUAGGUAUGGUGAUUGAGCGGAACACAGGAAAGCAAGAAAAUGUGUUACACUUAUACCAAAAUAAGGAUGUUGAGUUAUGUUACUGAUGCAUACAACUUUAACUUUGUUUAACACUAUCUGCCAAA